AUGGCGGGCGAGGCGCUGGGGGACGCCGCCAGCGCGUCGAGCUUCCUGUGCAGCGCCGACGAGCUCCGCUUCGACGCGCCCGCCCGUGCGCUGGCGGCCGAGGAGGCGCUGCAGCCCGUGUGGCUCUACUUCGCGAGCUCCGCUUCGACGCGCCCGCCCGUGCGCUGGCGGCCGAGGAGGCGCUGCAGCCCGGGUGGCUCUACUUCGCGCUGCCCAUGUCCAUGCUCCGCCGGCCGCUCUCCGGGCAGGAGAUGGCCGCCCUCGCCGUCAAGGCCAGCUCCGCGCUCGCCGUCGCCAGCGGUAAGGGGCGGAAGGCGGCUCGGGUGGCGCCUCGCGCGGGAGGAUGGAGUCCCUGACGAAUUUUUGCUCCCGUGUUUUAUUUGA
This 384-nucleotide ribosomal RNA is filed under the name Triticum aestivum (bread wheat). RNAcentral describes it as "partial small subunit ribosomal RNA". Lineage: Eukaryota; Viridiplantae; Streptophyta; Magnoliopsida; Poales; Poaceae. The record is from RNAcentral.